CACCGGCAAGCUCUCGGGAGAGGCCUCAGUGGGCUUAAACAAAAAGGCCUUGCUGAUCUCCAUGUGCUUUUCAAGGAUUCCACAGGGUGUAAGCACGCACUGUGUGCCAGGCCCUGUGCUGGGUAGGCCCCUGCUGCCCUCCUGAGUUGGGCACGGUGGCUUAAGAUGGUGGCUGUGCUCCAGCCAGAAUGCCUGAGCCUUGUGACCUUGCACAAGGUCUUUAGCCUCUUCUUCUGUGUGAAAUGGAAAGUGAGCAGCGCCUCAUCCCUUUGGGUCCUGCCGACCUACUAUGUGCUGGGCCCCUAUGUAAGAGAGGACCCCAGGGCCCACCCUCCCAGCGCCUGUCCCCACGCUGCUCUCACCUGACCACACGUGAUUGGCGCCGGCACGGAGCCUAAAACAGCAAGUCCAGCUCAGACAUCGCCAGCGCCGGGGUCCUGUGAGCCAGGGAAGUGGCCAGGGCGAGACUCCAGGGAUGAGUGGGGACUGGGGUGAGCGGGGAGUUCAAGCCCUGUCUGACGGGGGAGCGUCUGCAGCCCUGAGGGAAUUGGCCCAGUGCCCAGAGGAGCCGUGCAGCUAGGCUUAUGGGAGAUUUUAUGCAAAAAAAAGUCUUGAUUUUUAAAUGUUAGCAAUGAAAUUUUUACAACGUUAAAAACAUUCUGGGAGCCAAAGGAAGCCGUUUGUGGACAGGACUCAGCCCGCAGAGUCAGGGCACUGACGUAACAGUCUGCCCUUGUUGCAGGCGCACGCACGGCAGGAGCCACCAAGCGCGGCCAAGCACCUACUGUGCGCCCCUCCUGCCGCUCCAGGCCACAGGAAGAGGCGGCAGCGGCAAGGGGCCGGGGCUGAGGCCGCCCGAGUGUCUCCCGUGCAGCGGUGUUUCGGGCUGGCUCCUCCUGGCUCGGUCUGCAGGCUAAUUGCUAUGUACAGCCUCCAUUAAAUAGUCAACAAUUUGAACUUGGAAUUUAAAAAAUUAUAAUAAAAGCAGGGGGAACAACUGCUCCAAACUCAUCACUUUGUAAUUUACUGCAGUCUACACACUUGAGGUAUUCACAUCUGUUGUAGCCAGCGUCCUCUGCUGCGGAAAUGGUGCAUCGGCCCUGUACAGCUGCAUUCACGGGAGGAACGUGGUGCCGGAGGCCGCUGAGGCAGGACUGUCUCCACCACAGUGCCUGGUGCCUGGGAUAAUCAGUCUCCCUCGCCAAGAGGGGUGAAACGUUUAGCGGAGAAUUGGAUGAAAGCAAACACACCGAUAAACGGACUGUGUGAGUACAGUGGAGCAACGAUGGAAGGCAGAGCACCGGGGAGGGAAAGCCGACUGUCACCGUCUGGAUAGUGCUAGGAUGGAACCCAGGGCCUCUUGCGUGCUAAGCACACAUCCUACCACUGAGCUACAUAGCAGCCAGGAAGAAGGUCUUUUGGAGGAGUCCAGUGACAGGCAAGAAGGUCAGGCAAGCAGAGGGCAGAUCACAGAUGGCUGCUUCCGCCAGUUGGAGGGGGUCAACUGCACCCUCAGGGCAGUAGGCAAGGAGACUGAGUCUCUAAGAGCUGACCUGGCUUGGCAGAGGUAAAAUUGUUAAAAGGCACACAGCUGGGGUUGGAACCCGGAUCGGGCCUUGAAAGCUGCUGUUGUCUUCAUUGCAUCCUGCCUGCCUACAGACUGAAGCUGGAGCCAGAAUUUGGAGUGACAGUGGUCUGUGUGGACUCGUGUCCCUCCCGGAGCCAGCCGGCUCAGGCUAUAGCCUCAGCCUAGGGUGCAGACCGGACACGGCGACCAGCAAGGGCCCUGGAGCAGUGCGGAGGAAACGGCCUCUGUCAUGCGGACUCCGGGCUGAGCUUGCUCUUUCUGGUUCCUGACCUUGUGGACUGUGAGGACCCCGGGAGCCUUCGGAAAGGUCACGUGGAUCCCCUCGUCUUUCUGCUCUCAAGGCCUGACUUUCCUUGGUGUCUGCUGAAUCCUACUAGUGUCUGUCUUGAGCGCCUACAGCGUGCCAGGCACCCGACGAGCACUGCCGCAUUUAACCCUGAACAAUCCCAUGAGGCCGUUGCUAGGGCAGAUGAGGAAACCGCGGAGGACAGGGCCAUCUCUUGCCCAGAGGCACACAGCUAGAGCGACAGGCUCAGAGCCAGACAUCAGCCACCAUGGGCCACCUCUGCCCCCGCUGCCGGUGGCGACCUGGCUCAGACUCCUCCGAGGGCUUCUCUCCUGCCGCCCGCUGCGACCCUGGGCAAAGCACAGAGGGUUCCAUUUUCACAGAAGUCCCCAGUGUGGCGGCUUCUUUUUGGGACCUGCUGACUGGGCUCCUAAUGUGCUCAGAGGCCCUUUCCAGGUCCCUCCUCCCGCUUCCAAACCCAAGGAGCUGUUCAAGUGUUCGUCUUCCUCCCGCCGCGGGUGCAUACUGCCAGAAAAGGCGAGAAGGAAGUGAGUGGUGGGCACUGGUGGCCGGGCAGAGGGGAGGCCUUAAGGUCCCAAACUCUAAAGGCCAAAGGACGGUGGAGCUGCCCAGUCAGACUGACACCCUUAACAGCGCUGGCCUGGCCCACAAACAGUAAAAUCAAAGCAGGCCCCGGCUGUUUAUUGGUUUUCCCCUCCUUUUUUGACAAAAAAAGAGAUCAAAGGUGAAAUCAAGCCCUCCGCUCUGCACACCUCCUCCCUUCUUCUUUUCCUUUCUUUUUGGAAGCCUGAGCACUGAAAUGCUUCAGUUGCAGGGGGAGGGUCCCACAGCGGCCAAACGAGGCACACAGAGGCUUGCAGGCGGCCAGGUGGGAGGCCGUAGAGAGAGGCGGGGACUGGGGUGGGCCGGUGAGCCCAGAAUUGCCCCACUGCUUUGCAAAAGUAAGGGCCCAGUGUGGCCAGGCUUUGGGAACAAGCCAGAAUUCCAGAUGUUUUAUGUGAAAUCUCGGGUGAUAUAUAUACAUGCCCGGAGAUGGGAAUCUAUUAUUACUUUUGCUGAUGGUGUGCUAUGCAGUCAUCUUGGAUUAAAUAUUAUGUUUUCCCAUGGGUACUACCUUUGUCCUAAUUCUUCCUACUGGUCCGAUAUUUCAUGCUUUUUUUUUGUGAACUUGAAGAUUAUUUUAUCCAAUUAAAAACAUUCUGUGAGCCCAUUACUUGAAGUCCAGUUAAGUUUAUCUUUGUUGGCAGAACUGACAUUUGAAGGAUGAGAAAUCCAUUCUGGUAGGCUGAAACAGGAAGAUCUCAAGUUUGAGCCCAACCUGGACAACACUGGAA
Molecule: long non-coding RNA, 3229 nt
Organism: Chinchilla lanigera (long-tailed chinchilla)
Lineage: Eukaryota; Metazoa; Chordata; Mammalia; Rodentia; Chinchillidae
Exons: 6
Source: RefSeq, a predicted model, not a curated record